Molecule: ribosomal RNA, 324 nt
Filed under: uncultured bacterium
Lineage: Bacteria
Description: bacterial SSU rRNA
Rfam family: Bacterial small subunit ribosomal RNA
Source: RNAcentral
CGAACGCUUGUCGCGUGCUUAACACAAGCAAGUCGAACGAUGAAGCCCUUCGGGGUGGAUUAGUGUCCCCCGGGUGAGUAACACGUGGGCAAUCUGCCCUUCACUCUGGGACAAGCCCUGGAAACGGGGUCUAAUACCGGAUACCACUCCUGUCCGCAUGGGCAGGGGUUGAAAGCUCCGGCGGUGAAGGAUGAGCCCGCGGCCUAUCAGCUUGUUGGUGGGGUAACGGCCCACCAAGGCGACGACGGGUAGCCGGCCUGAGAGGGCGACCGGCCACACUGGGACUGAGACACGGCCCAGACUCCUACGGGAGGCAGCAGUGGG